Molecule: ribosomal RNA, 450 nt
Filed under: uncultured bacterium
Lineage: Bacteria
Description: bacterial SSU rRNA
Rfam family: Bacterial small subunit ribosomal RNA
Source: RNAcentral
GUGGGGAAUUUUGGACAAUGGGCGCAAGCCUGAUCCAGCAAUGCCGCGUGCAGGAAGAAGGCCUUCGGGUUGUAAACUGCUUUUGUACGGAACGAAACGGUCCUGGCUAAUAUCCGGGGCUAAUGACGGUACCGUAAGAAUAAGCACCGGCUAACUACGUGCCAGCAGCCGCGGUAAUACGUAGGGUGCGAGCGUUAAUCGGAAUUACUGGGCGUAAAGCGUGCGCAGGCGGUGCUGUAAGACAGGCGUGAAAUCCCCGGGCUCAACCUGGGAAUUGCGCUUGUGACUGCAGUGCUGGAGUGCGGCAGAGGGGGAUGGAAUUCCGCGUGUAGCAGUGAAAUGCGUAGAUAUGCGGAGGAACACCGAUGGCGAAGGCAAUCCCCUGGGCCUGCACUGACGCUCAUGCACGAAAGCGUGGGGAGCAAACAGGAUUAGAAACCCUGGUAGUCC